Molecule: long non-coding RNA, 2438 nt
Organism: Hydractinia symbiolongicarpus
Lineage: Eukaryota; Metazoa; Cnidaria; Hydrozoa; Anthoathecata; Hydractiniidae
Exons: 2
Source: RefSeq, a predicted model, not a curated record
UCUUUCCAAAUCCAAGGUGUACUAAAAAAUCGCGAAUUACAACACGACAAGAGGUCAGGGGUUUAGGAUUUAAUACUGGUAACCAAAUGUAAACAAAGACGUUCAAGAUAGGCGAUAAAUCCUUCAAAAAAGGCUCUUCUUUUUGGUACUUCUUCUAUGCUUUGCUACCGAAGAACGCAGGGUUCAAAGUCCAACCUGCACCACUUGCGGGAAAAUUAAAUAUGGCUGCGCUAACUCCGAAAAGGCGUAUUUAAAGUGUGUGUGUUAAGUUAUUUUUAUUGUUUUCUUUCUGACAUCCCGUUAAACUUUUGUCAGCCUACAUGUAAUAUGCCAGGGUUUUUUACAGGGUUUUUUUACAUUUGAUUGGAAAUUUACGUGUGUUUAUGAUGGCUUUAGGUUAAGAAAAAUUAUAAGAGGAUGGUAUGAUUAAGGGGAAUCUUGGAAGGCUCAGGGGGCGUGUUUUGUAGAUAAAAGUUAUCGGAAUUGAUGACAAGAGGAAUUAUGCUCACGAACGACAAAAAAUUUUCAGGCCACAAACAAAUUGUUAAAAUUUCUCAAUCGUUAGCGGAUUUUUUUUCAAACUUCAGACCCCCUCCCCCCUUAGCGGCGAUAUCCCACUAACGGAGCCCGAAAAAAAUUUUCGAAGGACCCUAAGUCUGUUUAUAAUUAUUUGCGUUGCAAAAUGCAGUUUUUUAAAAUUUUGUGUAAAUUUUUGUGGAAUUAAACCACAUGCAAUAAUACUGAAAGAACAAAAUUUUGUAGAAUCAGACUUCACUGUAAGCUGUUGUAUAAGUGGAUGUCUUUACAUUUUGUAAUAUAAACUAUUGUUGGGGAAAACUAACUGUAUGCGAUGUCAUUUUUGGUGGAAGAAAAUUCCAUGGUUUCACGGUUUUGUUUUUCUUGAGAAUUUUACAAAAUUUUGUAGGGAUAAUGUUUGCUGAUGAUAAAAAAAUACUUAAUGUUCUAACUGAAACUGUUUUUGUUUUUUAUAGUUUGUAAUCUAACAGGCGAGGACUGUAUACACUGAAAUGAAUGAUUUUUCCAAAUUUUGAUGUGUUUUAUAACCUUUUUUUGGUAUAUUAAUGGGUAUUGGCAACAUGCGAUAUGCUGAAUGAAAUUAUUUUUGUUGAUUUAGAUGUGUUUCUCAAAAACCAAUCUGUUUUACAUUUUGUGCAAACUUUUGUUUAAGAACGUUAUACAAUAUUUCCAAAAUAAUGAGCUUUUUUAUUCAAGUUUAUUCUUAGCUUAUUGAUUUUUUUGACAUUUAAGUUCAAAAUUGUUGGUAAAGGGCAGUACGGAUCAUUAUACUAAAAAAAGAAAAUUUUUUUUCUUUUUAACUGGUUGAUUUUUACAUUUUGUGUAAAUGUUUUGUGGAAGAGGAUGGUAUGCAACUGAAAUGACUGAUUUUUGUAGAUUUAAAUUUGAUGUUUUCCAAACUUAGGCUUUUUCAUAUUUUUGUAUGAGCUUUUAAGGGAAAGACAAUAUUAAAAAUGUGUAACUCUUGCAGGCCCACUUUUUGACAUUUCAGAAUAAAAUACUGAGUGUUUUCAACAUAAUCACUUAUAAGAUGUACAUAUUUUAGAUGCGUUAUUUCUGACAUUGUUAUUAUCCGUGUUGUGACUGUCAGUGUUGUAACUGUCGGUGUUCUUACUGUCGGUUUUGUGAGUAUUGGUGUUGUGAGUGUCGAUGUUGUGAGUGUCGUUGUUGUAACUUUUUGUCAACUAAAUUAUACGCCUUGUAAGCUGUUCUUUUUGAUUUUGUGUAAGAUUUGUGUGGAGGAUUUAAUGCGAUUUGACAUUUGAUAUUGUGUGUAAAAUUUUCAGAACAUUUAUUUUUGUAAAUGCACUGCUGGCGUCAGCAAAACAUCUAAAGCAACCUAUUUUUCCAUUGGCCUUUUGCCUAAGUGGAUUUUUCCACGGGUCUUAUUGACUAGUCUAUAUAAUAAUACACCAGUUCUGUGUCUCUGUAACAGGCAAAGUGGAUAUGUUCAUUUUCCUUUGAUCUUACCGAAAUUUUCUUUGAAGUAACCGAAAAAUGCAUGUCUAAUAUGUUAAAUUUUCUGACGUUAUGGCGCGACGUCAAUAACACUACUUUAACGUCAAUAUCCUAUAUUAAAUUAAUUAAGCCGUUACAGUGCACAUAAAACUUUGAGGCCAAAUAACGUGGAAACGAGGUGGUGACGUCAAUGGAAAGUUAAUUAAGAUUAGUGAAGCCAUUACAAUGCACUUAAAACUUUGAGGCCAAAUAACUUGGAAACGAGGUGGUGACGUCAAUGUUUUUUCACCGCGUGGGUAACUAGGGACAACCUGGGACCAAUUUGGGUAAGUUUUUCAAACCUGGGUCCCCGAAUCCGUUUCGGAAUGGACGGUUUGAUGACGUCAUCAAAAAACCUUUAAACCUUGAUAUCUCUGCAACCGUUUGUCAAAGAUACAUGAUCA